This 500-nucleotide ribosomal RNA is filed under the name uncultured bacterium. Its description in RNAcentral is "partial 16S ribosomal RNA". It matches the Rfam family "Bacterial small subunit ribosomal RNA", at positions 30 to 523 of the family's 1533-position model. The record is from RNAcentral.
AUUGAACGCUGGCGGCAGGCCUAACACAUGCAAGUCGAGCGGAUGAGAGGAGCUUGCUCCUCGAUUCAGCGGCGGACGGGUGAGUAAUGCCUAAGAAUCUGCCCAGUAGUGGGGGACAACGUUUCGAAAGGAACGCUAAUACCGCAUACGUCCUACGGGAGAAAGUGGGGGAUCUUCGGACCUCACGCUAUUGGAUGAGCCUAGGUCGGAUUAGCUGGUUGGUAGGGUAAAGGCCUACCAAGGCGACGAUCCGUAACUGGUCUGAGAGGAUGAUCAGUCACAAUGGAACUGAGACACGGUCCAGACUCCUACGGGAGGCAGCAGUGGGGAAUAUUGGACAAUGGGCGCAAGCCUGAUCCAGCCAUGCCGCGUGUGUGAAGAAGGCCCUCGGGUCGUAAAGCACUUUAAGUUGGGAGGAAGGGCUUACAGCGAAUACCUGUGAGUUUUGACGUUACCGACAGAAUAAGCACCGGCUAACUUCGUGCCAGCCGCCGCCGCCG